CGACGACUGAUACAUUACGGAGACAUGCAUUAUGCGCCCCCUUACGCUGCGACGAUGGACCCCUGACGCUAUGUCCGUGAUGAAUGAUCACUGACGUGUGUUAUUAGCAACCACAUCACGUCGUGCGAUAACGUUAAUAACGUCAGAGGAACCACUUCAUCCCUUACGCCGACGAGAGGCCAGCAUAUUUCUUGGCCCACAAGAUAUGCCCGUACGGCAGGACGUGGCACACCGGCGGGCCGCCGGGCUUGGUGCCGAGGAACCUGAAGGCGACGUGAUCCUUGUCCCACUCCGACGUGUCGGUGUGGCAGACGGAGAACAAGGUGACCUUGUCACCACCGGCGCCCUCCAUCUCCACCUUGUACGCCCGGGCCGGGCCGGUGCUGUGGCACAUGUACACGGUGUAUGGGUACUCCUUCUGGUGGCACCCCACGAAGCUGGAGCCCCGGACGGGUCGCACAGCACGGAUGGUGUACGGCUGCAGCGGCGACCCGGCGCGGGGCACCCUGGAGAUCAUCUCGGUGAUGCUCCUGGUGCCGAGCACCCCCUGGGCACCCUCGACCAGGGCCUCCAGUGAGGUGGCGCAGAACUUGGCCUCCCACUCGAGGCCCGGGUCCUCGCACAUGCCCAGGGUCUCCUCCAUCUUGGCCGCCUGGGCAGAGCCCUCGGUGACGUUGAACUGGGCGAGGAUGCCCGGGAGGGCGGAGGAGGAGAAGGGGAUGGCGUCGGCGACGUGGCGGGGGAGGAAGCCGAGCGGGGUGGUCACUGCCGCAGGGAACCGGAAGGGCAGGCUCUGGCGGACGCGCAGGGCCUCCUCGCGGAAGAAGACGGCCAUCUUGGUGUCGACGAGCUCCUCGGUGACGCGUGCAGCGACGGAGGAAGCUGGAAGGGUGUACUUGGUGUAGUAGAAAGCAUGGCUCUGCUGUCCAACCUGAAACAAUGUGACGUACAGAGAUAUUGAGUUUGCCCGUGCUUGUUCGUACACAGAAAGUCAGAAAAGAUGCGUGCAGCAGGUGUGUGUUAGUGGACGCUUACCGCGAACAGGACGAGGAGAGCAGUGAGCAUCGGUACGCGCGCCAUUGGAGCUAAUGGCCAGAAGAAGGAAGAAUCCCGUUCCUGUGUUGGAAUGAGGAGGCGUCCAGGAAGAGGGUUGUAAUUAUAGGAGUCGUCGAUGAAAGUUAAACUGGAGUCAUCAUCUCUUCUUUCUGUGUGUAUAAUGUUGAGAUAUCUUUGAAGUCUGAUUGGCCGUUGUCAUCAUGUAUCCUUGGUGGCCUUGAUGGGCAAUGUUUGAUUGGUGCAAUAUUUUUCUAGCAUAUUUUGUACAGAUUUGUCAAGUCGUUGGGCUGUCGUUCUCGACUUCUCGGUAGUAUAGCUGUCCAUGUGUUGCACGAGAUUGCGAAAUGUCGAGACCGCUUGAUAGUCUUAUAUCAAACUUAUCAUCAGCUACUAGUAUUACGUACAAUUAUUGCAUACUACGUGGUAGUAAGCCCAGCCAUAAGCACCAGUCUUCACCGUCGGUUUGGAUCCAUCGUCUAACUUUCGGUAGUAACGUGGAUACCCCAUCACCGCUGGUUUUGGAACUGGUGGUGAAGGCCUAUUAAAAAAAAUAGCGCUGCCGACCGCCGCACGCCCCGGCCUUGCGCUGCCUCGCCGGAUCCGGCCUGCCGCACCUUGCUAGAUCUGGCCGCUGCCGCCCCGCCGGCCGCCAACUGCCCUGGUCCUGCCGGAUCCGGCUCAGAGAGAGAGGCGUACCGGGGAGAGGAAGCUGAGGCCGCGCCGCCAGGGCCGCCCACCUACGCCACCGCAACCAGCUCCUUCUUCACCGGAUCUGUGCCAGCUCCUUCACUGGAACCUGCACCGCCGCCACCGGAUCUGUGUGCUGCUGCUGCUCUCACCCCGCCGCCGCUCCUCACUGCCGCGAGUGAGGGGUGAGCGAAGGAGGGAGAGGAGGGGCAGCCGAGGGUGAGGAGAGGGAGAUCACACAGGCCGAUGGUGAUCGGCGGAGAGAGGGAGGGGCGACAGUGGGAGAGGAAGGGGUCAGGAGGAGCUGAGGGGGAGGAGAGGGCGGCAAGAGAGGAGGGAGAGAGGGUGGCGGGAGGGUAAUAAAGGGCCUAAUUAGUGUCGGUUGGUCUCCCCAACCGGUACUAAUUUGUUUUUUCCUUUCUUUUCUUAUUUUCUUUUUAUUUAUUCUAUAUUCGUACGUAUACUACUUCUAAUAUCGCUAAUAUAUAUAAAGUUCUAUUUAUCUUCAAUAUUACAUUUAAGAUAUUAUUAUAUAUAUGUACAUAUUGUGCAUACACAUAUAUGAAUAAUAUUAUAUAUAUAUAUAUAGACAUAUUGUGCACACACAUAUCACAUCUACUAUUCUGAACCCGAGUCGUGCCGGUGUUGUAGAUUUGAUGCAUUAUUAUAAAACCCCCCCGCUGGAUUUAUGACCUCGUCUAGAAGAAAUCCACUUGAAGAUUCUAUCCUUUCUGUACAUCAUCUGUCUCAUUGGCAAAGUUUAUUACAUAUAUAGUAGAUCAAUGGGUUUGCACAAUUGAGUUACUUCAAAUAUAAGCAAUUAAAUUGAAAUACUUAAUCUAAUUUUUCUAAGUAUAUACACAAGAAUUGGUUUUUGAAGUAUAAGCAAAUAAAUUGAAAUACUUAAUCUAAUUUUUCUAAGUAUAUGCACAUGAAUUUAUUCUUGAAAUAUAAGCAAAUAAAUUGAAAUACUUAAUCUAAUUUUUCCAAGUAUAUACACAUAAAUUGGUUUUUGAAGUAUAAGCAUAUGAAUUGAUUUUUGAAGUAUAUACACAUGAAUUAAUUUUCUAAGUAGAACUAAUUUAUUGUUGAGAAUUUUGUAUACGUACGGUUAAUUUGUGGUCGGUCAUACGGUUCGGACGUAUAAAGCUGUGGAUGAACUCACAUACGUAGUAUCCGCAUAAAUUAGUACCCGUCUCCUAUCUCGAAUACUAUAUAUAUGGAAAAAAGUUAUGAAAUAUUUGUUGUGUUAAAUAAAGUGUUACGAGAUAUAAAAAUUCAACACAUACCGGGAAUUCACUCUUCCAUUCAAGUUCCUCCUUGAAUUCACCUACAUGAGUUCGACGAAAUCGAGCCCAUGCUUUGUACAUAGCGUAUAUGAUGUGAGUGCAUUCUUGUUUUUUUCCGUCAAAGAAUCGAAGACAUAUACGACACUUAUAUCAGGCACAACAACAAUGAGUAUCCAAUGGAAUCUGUACAACCAAAUUAAAGCUAGUUAGUCUUAUGUUUAACUGCUAGUUCGAAAAUAAAAGAGAUAGAAAACACGCUCACUUGAAGUUGUACACUAGUAGUAUGUACUUCUUGUAAUGUUGCUUGUCGAGGAACUUAUAUAUAUUGUUCAAGGUUCGAUUUGGUUUAUCUCUUAGAUUUGCCUCGUUUAUAACAUCAAGGUCUAUGAAGCCUACGUCAUAGUAUCUGUUCCUCUGACAAGUUUGAAUCUCCAUCCUGCAUGAUACAAAAUCAAAUAUGAGUUAAGACAUCGCAAAUUGACUAGAGUGGGGAUCUUGAAGUUAGAGGAAUAUAUUAAAGACUUACAGAACCCAGCAACUGAUGAGUGUGUUGUCAAGUGCAUCUUGAUUGAACAGGAAAUACAAUUCCUCCAGCAGCACAUUUAUGAUGUCAUCCCCACGAAAAUAAUGUUCAUCACCAAUCCGAACUUCGAUCACGGCAAAACCCUCUGUUGUAGCCUCCAUGUACCAUUGGUGCAACUUACAUCUGUGUUGGGAGACGUUGCACCAACUGCGGCCACACAAGCGGUUUCCCAUACUCAUAUUUCCAUUUAGCAGCCCCAGGGUGCGUUGGGAUGUGAUCCUCCCCUUGAAGUUAAGUUGCGGUCAGAUUUGUAUCUUUAGCGAAUUGCAGCAAGUUCUUGUCAAACUCAGAAAGCAUUUGAGCGAGGCAACCGAUUGGUUGGAUUGGGCUCCAUGUUGAGGAAUAGUUGACCCACUUUUCUUCCUCUUCUUAGAAGCUUGAUUUGUUAUCUGCCUGUCGUAAUCAAAUAGUGGUGGUUUCUCUAGCUGUUUCCUUUGCUCUACCUCCAUGCUUCUGAUGAAAGACCGAAGUUUACGCUUAUCAAGUGGUGGCUCCUGUUUCUAUUUCCGCCUCCAUGCUUCCUUUUGAGCAGCUCCAUGCUUUUUUCUCAGCAUCCACUACUGCCUUUAGUUACUCAUCUAUCAUAUCAUAUGGUAAUUUCUCAGCUGGUUGCUUCUCCUUCUGCUUCUUCUGCAUCUUCUUAGGAGGUGCAGGUGGAAUUGAAGGCUUAUUCAUAGGAGGUGGAGGUGGACUCAUUCUUGAAUCCCUUUCUAGUACUAGACUCAUGCUAGGAUCCAUGUCUGGUAGUGGAGAGGGUGCCCUGGUAGAUGGCGUAGGUGAUCUUGCCCUUGAGCCUUGAGGAGAUGAUCCUAAGGUCGGGGGAUUCGGCUGCGUAAUCCUUAUGUAGCGCUUGGGCCACAAAAUCUAACCAUGGAUAGCUUCUCCUAGAUUCUUUUCCCCGUCACCUCCAGGGAUCUCCAGUUCCAGGUCAUCCCAACCGUUGACCACUCGGUCCACCCUAACUUUGGCGUAACGGUGAGCUGGAACCUCCACGCCAUGAAGUGUUUGGCCUUGCAUCGGUUGCUUAGCCACACCAUAAGCCACCGUGAUGAGCUUGUUUUUCAUGGGAGUAACAAGCUCACAAUGGGCUCUCCCAGUGAUGUCAUCCAUGGGGUGGUGUUGGUUGUCCUCAAGUAUCUCAGAGGAUCCUCUAGCUGGGGCUUCUGUGGAAGCGACACUACUUCGACGCUGAGUCAGGCUUACAUCGACAUGUGUCCCUGAUGCUGCCGCAGCUGCUUGUUCACUGGCUUGUUUGCUCAGAGCUAGCGCCACACGCUGAUCGAUUAUUUCCUCCAUUAUUGCCUCUAAUGCUGCUACUUGUUCUUGUAGCUCUCGCAGCUAUCGUGCGUGGUCGGCCUUACUUCUUUGGCGAUUGCUAUAUGAUUCAAUGUGCUCAUGAAAGGCAAAUUUCCACGGAAUGACUCCUUUGCCUCGACAUCGUCCAGGGUGUUCGGGAUUUCCAUGUGCCAUAGUCAGCUCAUCCCUCUCUCGAUCAGGCACGAAGGAUCCAUCAGCCGUUUUCUUUACUAAGUCAUCAAGUCUCGUAGCUGCUUCUCUUAAUUCAUUGCCGAAUACAAUUGAUCCAUCUUUGGGAUUAAGCCUGCCGCCAUGAGCAUAAAACCAAUUCUUUGCUCGCUCAGGCCAUUCGAGAGUCUGUGGUACUAUUCCCCUGGCAAUUAGGUCAUCUUCCAUCCUUUGCCAUUUCAUGAUCCCCAACUUGUAACCUCCUAUCCCAAGAUGAUGAAAGUUUGCUUCUUGUAAGCAUUGUCGGUGUUGGUCUGAGUUUGCAAUUGGCUCUUUCCGAUUGAUUGAAUUGUACAAAGGAAUCCCAGUGAACCCUUAACUUCGAGUGCUUAUUGAAAUCAGGUGUAAGCCCCUUCUUUGUGUACUCUUUGUUCAAGUUUUUCUUGUACGUUUGAAAAGCAAUUGCAGCCUUCUUGAAGCCCCAUUCUUUCACUUUGUCUGCCUCUACAUCUUCGAACGUGGAGUUAUCUUUUAACUGUUGCCAUUACAUAUUCUUCUCUUGGUCAGGUACGUAAAGGACCGUGCUUGUGGGGACCGGGACCGUGCUUGUUGAAGUGACGUUGCCAGGUUUUUUCCAAUUCUGAAAGCUGAUUGGGAUGUUAUCUCUGACAAGAAAUCCAAUCUGAUUCACCAAUUUUAUCAUAGCAUUGCCAGGAGCAAUCGGUUCACCAUCUUCAACAAUUUCUGUGAUGAUGAUACGGUCCUCUAACUUCUUGUUCUUGCCUCGUUUAUUUUGAGGCCUGCUGCUCGAUCCAGAUGGCUAAAAAAUGAUAAUUUGUUGCAUGAUGAUGUUUCUUUUAAUAAGAAGAGAAUUCAAAUAAUGUUUACCUAUAAUAAUUGUUAUACCUCACCUUGUUGCCCAUCAUUGCCUCCCUCGGCAAUUUGUUGCUCCUCAUUGCCUUCCUCGGCAAUUGGUUGCUCCUUGUUGCCAUCACCAGCCAUGUUGAGGUUGAUGUCAGCUUAGCUGUGAUCGAUCUCUUCAUUUGGUUGAUCGUUUGUGCUGCCUUCAGCAAUCAACUGAAAUAUGAGCUCCUCUGCUGUUCGGGCAUCAUGCUCAUCCUCUGAUCGUGCCAUUUUAACUAGUAUAAUAUAAAAGGAUUUAUUCUAAAAAAUAGUAGGCAACAACAUUAAAAAGAAUGACUACAAAAAGAAUUAAACACUUAUACAAUUUGUAACAAUAAUAAAUAACUAAAAAAGGAUGAUACACUUAUACAACUUGGUAAAAAAAUAAUGACUAUUAUAAUUUAUAAAAGUAUCAAAGUAUUUUUCACUUAUUUCUAGACUUUCUAACAAUUAACAAAUAUUUGUAACAUGGCAUGUCGUACGAUUUACAAUUAAUAAGCUUUUCCAACAAUUUUUCUAUAAUUUCAAACUAAUUCCAGAAUUUUUCUAUAUUCUCUAGCUAAUUCAACAUUUUUCCUACAAUUUCUAGUUAAUUCAUAUACUGCAGAAAUAAAAAGAAUUGAUAACAAAAAUAGAAUGAAACACUUCUACAAUAAAAAAAGAAUUGAUAACAAAAAUAGAAUGAAAUACUUCUACAAUAAUUACAGUCAAUUGCUACAAAAUGACAGCAUCAUAACAAGAUUUUCACGUUUUUUAUUAAUAUUUAAGAAUUAACAGGAUUUUCUAUAAUUUCUAGCUACUUCAAGAAUUUUUCUCUAUUUUCUAGCUACUUAAACAAUUUUCUAAUACUACAAAAAUAAAAAAAUAAAUUGCAUGAUUUCCUACACUUACACAAAUUUCCUACAAAUUUUAUAUAAUUUCCUACAAUUUCUAGAUAAUUUCCUACAAUUUCUAGAUAAUUUCCUACAAUUUCUAGAGCUACAGGAAUAAAAAAAUAAUGACAUCAUGGCCGGCCGCAAGGUUACGUCAGUGGGAAGCAAGCCCGCGGCCGGCCGCAAGUGUGCAUUCGUGCAUGUGAAGGCCGGGGGUGCGUGAAGGCCGGGGGUGCGUGUGGAGGCCGGGGCGCUGAGGGUGGGGGUGGCGCGGACAGAGGCGGUUAGGCGGCGCGGUCAUGGCGGCUCAGACGGAGGCGGCCGGCAACGUACGGCACGGGGCAUGCGGUCGGGGCGGCGCGGUCAGAGAGGCAGCGACGUUUGAGGCACGUGGAGGCCGGGGACGGAGGCUGGGGUGGCGGCGGUGUGGUCGAAGCGGUGCGUUCGGGGCAGAGGCGACGAGGCCAAGGGUCGGGGUUGACGGGACCGGCUGGGGCGACGAGAAUGAUAGGGUCGACGGAGGCGAGGUGGCUAUGGGGCUGGGCACGGCGACGAUGGGAAUGGCGGCGGUGACAAGGGGGUGAUGAGGCAGGACGGCGACGAGGGCGCGACGCUGGCGAACGAGGCGACGAGCACGGAGGCGGCGGCGAUGGAUCGAGGCGAUGAGCACCAAUGCGUGAAAUGGCUAAGUAUUUGGGGAAAAGAAGGUGAGGUGGCUUUAAACCCCCUCCCCCCGUACCAGGCAAAAAAAAUACCCGGUACUAGAGGGGGGCCUUUAGUACCAGGUGUUCCCACCACCUGGUAUUAAAGGACCUCUGCAAACGCGAAACGAAAAAUGGCCCCCUUUAGUACCAGGUGUUCACACCACCCGGUACUAAAGGGGUUGCAUUGUCCUGUUUGAAUUUUUCGCCCAUCUUUUUAUUUUUCUGUGAUAGCUCAAGUAAUUAAGAACCUAAAUCAAAUAAUCAACAGGGUGAUUAAGAAGCAAAUCAAAGCUAACUCAAAAUUGCUAAGAGUUAAGAUCCAAAAACACCUUAGAUUUUGACCCAGGGUCAAAACUCCUUUCUGUUGAUAAUCACUAGUGAGGCCAAUAAAAAUAAAUUUUAUAUAAAAACUAAAUUUUGGCCAAUACAAAAGUGAUAGACCUUUUCAAAUGGAGCAACUUUAAAAAUAUGCACUUUCUUGAUUUGGAAGUGGAAAGACUCCAAAAACUGAGUAGAAGUUCGGUCAAAUUUCAAGUCAAAUCCAAAAACAGCUUUGACCGGCGUCCGCCAAAUUUCCCACAAUCCUAAUUCCAAAUCCUUCAAGUUCCUCAUAUGUCGGCCUUUAUAAAAGGUAUAGUCCACACCUUGAACUCCAACUUUUAUUUUUGGGAAUGCAAGCACACAGUUCAAACUUGGUGAGAAAGUACAUGUUAAACCCGACACCUUUGCAUGAUAUGCAUCACAAGCAUCUUUGUGCAUUAUUGAGCAUCAAGAAUAUCAUUGUGCAUGUUUGAGCAUCAAGAACAUCCUUUUGCGCAUCAUUGAACCUCAUGAGCAUCAUUUGUGCACAUUGGAGCAUUUUAACCUUGCAUUGUUUAAGUGCCCAGAAAUUGAUUGUUUAUUGUUGAAAAACAAAAUUUGUGAAGCAACCCCAAUUUAUUUUAUACAACUGUGCCUCCUAUUAUUUUAUUUAAAUACUAGAUACACUUUAGUGAUUUUACAAUAUUUUUACUAAUUUUUUCAGAAGUGUUUGCUUGUGCUAAAAAUUCAUUUAAAGUUCAAUUUUGGGUAUUUUGUUUUGUCGAUUGCGUGAAAACCAUAAUAGCUUUUGAGUUGAUUCAUGUUGAAUUGUAUUCUUUGUGAUUUACCUUUCCAACAAGUAUUUUUGGGAAAUUUUUGGACAAGUGUAGCUGGUUCAAAUAAGGAGAGAAAGUGGUAGUAGUGAAAAAUCUCAUGGGCCCACACGUCAGUCACCAGCUUCCCCUUUCUUCCUCCUCCCUCAACCGCACACACGCCAGAUGGCCAGCACGGACACCGAAGAUCACCGAUUAGCCACCUUCGGUAUGCCACCAGGGCUUCCCAUCGCCGGUUGGUUGCCCGAGCAUCGCCCAGGUGCUUCCCCCGCCGCGCCACGCCUCUCCUCGCACCCGGUUGGGCAGGAGCCGGACCGAAUGGCAUGGGCACCAGGUGGCCAUCGAACUCUGGCGUCGCCCCUUACUACCAAAGCUGAGCAGCGACGCUGUGGCGUCCUUAUCAUCUUGCCCAUCCUUAUCUUCUCGCGCCCCAGCCCUUAAAUCAGCCCUCUCCCAAGCCUCCUUCCCCUCCUUUUCCUUGCAACAGAAACUUUCCCCAUUGUCGAGCUCCCCAACAUGUCCCUGUUCUCCGACGAAAUCCGCCCAACUCCAGCCACCUCCCUUCAAUAGCUCACGUCCAAAGCUGCUCCACUUCCUUGGCUCCGCCCUCCACCACUUCUCAUCGCCCGCUGUCCACAGAAUCGACGGGAAUCGAAGUUCCCCAAAACUUCUAGGAACUUUUCACUUGCCACUACUGCCUCUCCAUGGUGUCCCAUCUCCCGGCUGCCGUCAUCCUCGUCUAAUGCCUCAAACGGAACCGUGGUGAGCCCCUAAUCGUGAUGCUCGUGUUUGUUUUCCUUGUUGGGUGACUUUCCACGCUCGUUCCCGGCAACAUCAUCGGCCGUUCGUCGUCGCCCAUGGAGCACCUGUGUGCCGCCCCCUUCCUCCCUACCUGCGCUACUCCAGGGAGUCCCUUGGCCCUAGGCAUGGCGCCGCCGCCCCUCCUCCUAGCGCCCUGCUGCGUUUCCCCCUGUCCCGAGCCACGCUAGUGCGCCCAUGCCCAAACCAUGCAUGCCUCUUAUCUGUUUAGGGGCGCAGGGACUUGGUUGGAGAAGAAGGAGAAGUUCCAGGGGGUGUUGCAUAAAAAGUCAGGAUUUAUGUGUGAGGUGGAAUCUGUUCAGGGGCUAGAGUGUGAAACGCAGGGGCUAGAUGGUUAAGAGAAGGGUAGAUCAGAGAAAGGAAUUGUUUUUCCAGGGGGUAGCUUGCAAAGUUGCUAGGUUUUGUUUUGUUUACUAAAGUAAAAAUGUUGCAAACUUUGAAAAUGCAUAGAAAACUGUAGGAAAUUGCUAAAAAUGUGAUUACUAUUUUGUUGGAUUCCUUGUGGUGUCUAGUUUAUUUCAAAAAUGCUUUUGUGCAUGUUGCUAUUUCAUAUUUUGUGCUAUGAUUUAUUUGGUGUGAAAGCCUUUAAAUGCUUUAUAAAUCACAUAGUGCUCUAAAAAUUGUGGAAUCACUUUUGUUAGUUUCCUUAUAACAUGCAUGUUGAGAUCUACAACUUGUGUGAGUAGAAUUCAUGGUGUUCAUAUUGUUUUAGAUUUAAAUGCUUACUUGCUAUGUUAAUCUAGUUAUUUGCAUAAUAAAUAGUGGAAAAGUGAUAGAAUGAUGAAACCAUCACUAUUAGUCUUUGUGUUCCACAUAGAAUCUAGGAAAAAUGAUAAUGAAAAUUUUAUGGUUGAUUUGCAAGCCUUUUUAGAUUUAAUGUGCUUAAGGGUAGUUUAACUUGUUUAACUCAUAUUUCCACAUUAAAAAUUGAUUCUGGGGUGAAUCCAACUCUCAUGAUUUUGUGUUGAUUGUCUUCUGUUGAUACCAUGACUAUUUCUCAACAAAUAAUUUUAAUCUUGCAAUUUCAUGCUUACUUUUGACUUAUCGUGCAAACUAGUUUUUCUCAUCAUCUUGUAUGACCUUGUACUGUUUAGCUAGAUUGUAUUGUUAACAAUUGAAUUCAUGCUUGUUUAGUUUAUCGUACAAUUAGUUAUCUCUUCAUUGUUUGCAUGUUUGGGUAUGGUGUAUAGCUAGAUUCAAUAGCUCUACUAUGCCUUGUCGUUCCACUUAAGAAACCUCUAACUAGAAUGUUAGGAUUUUUGUUCAUGACCAAAUCUGACUUUGGCCUUCUGCCCUUAUAAUCAUGCUAAAACAAUUGUAUAAAAAGGAAAACUAGGAAAUCACUUUUGCUAGUCUGCAUGCUUGAUUGAAAUCCUUAGUCAAAUAGUCAUACCUCAUAGUGGCAUGAGACUAGUCCUGUGUUUCCCUAAAACUUGUUUCUUUAUGUUAGAUUUAUGCUUGGUCUUGAAGAGGUAGUUUACUUUUUUCCUACAAAACUCAUAGGCAUAUCUAACUUAGUGUGUGCUUAGCUAAUUGUGAAACCAAAUCCCAAUUUUGUUUUUACGCUUGUCCUGUCUUUUUUAAAAAUAAUACCAAACGUGUUAUCUCAGGAUUUUCUUGGUAUUCAGUUUGUGUUCUUUUGCAACAUAUAGAUCAUUGCUGUUGUUUGGUUUCUAACUUCUUGCACUAUACAUCCUCCCAUGUUUCAUGCAUUCAUGAGCAUUAGCACUCAUAGCAUCAUCUCUAAUGUAUGCACACAUUUCAUUCUUUUAGAGAGAAAAUUUGCCAGAGAAUGGAACCUUUGAGACCAAAGUCGAGGCUGGCAUAAAAGUUGAUUUUGAGCUCGAAGAAAACCAAGGCAAGCCACUAAGCAUGUUUGUCGCCUACUUUUGAAAUGAAGUUGUUACUAUGGGUUGCAUGUGGGUGAUAAUAACUUAAUCUUGCAACUUGCUUAGUCAUGCUUAGUCAUAAAAUGAUCACUUAGUAAAAGAAACGGUCAUAGGUUAAUCAACACCUUUACUAAUAAGGUUCUUUAAGUUGUUUAAAAAUUUAGAAAUAGGAUAACUUUCCAAAUAAGUGUUAAGCAACCCUAAAGUGACCCCACCCUUCUUUUAUGAAGUUUAAAUAAUUUGAACUUUAGAUGUCUACACAAUCACCAUCAAAGUCAACUCCAAGUUUUAAAUCGCAACAUACCUUACUUGACAAGAAAAUAAAUGGUUAUAACCUUGUCUAAGUGAAUGUGGUCCAGUGUGAAUAUUCCGUUAAAAACCUUGAUUCUAGUGCAAAAUGAGCAAUAUGUAGAAUCCGAACAAGUAAUUGCGGAGAUUCGUGCCGGAACGUCCACUUUGCAUUUUAAAGAAAAGAUAAAAAAGCAUAUUUAUUCCAAAUCAGACGGGGAAAUGCACUGGAGUACUGAUGUUUACCAUGGCUUUUACAACGUUAAUGAAAUGCAACCUACACAUAAAAGCUUGUUUUGAAAUCUUGCAUUUGCAUCUCAUGUAGAAGCUAACUUCCCUGAUGGAACGUACGAGCUCGGCCUAGAAUGCGAAGCAAGAGGGUGUCUGAUGAGCUGAACAUAAUCAAGGCCCGAACCAAGUUCGGAAGAGCCCAAGGCUGAGUUAGGGCAAGAAGGCAAGCCCUGGAGCAUAACCCAGUUUUCUAAAUUUAUGCACUACUUAUUUUACUUAUGUUUGUGCAUUUAAGUUCACAGGAAUUGCUUGAAACCCUAGUUGCAUGAUUCUAGGCACUGAUGUGCUGAAUACUAGUAUGUUAAGAUGAGUAGUUGCAAUACUAAUUAGGGACUCGAUAAAAGUCGAGUGAUUUCCUGUCACUCGUGAGCUGUAGGAGUUGCCUGUUUACUUAUAUUGAAAUCAUAAGGAUUGACUGGCGGGGCUGAGCAAUUGGUCUGAAUUGGUCGACUGCCCCACCUGUCUAGAAGAAAGCUGCUAAGGCCGUAAUGUGUCAGUGUUCGUGGUCAAGUGUUUGAAAGUACUAAUCUCAUACCUAGUAUGGGAUAGGGGAGCCUAGUACCUGAUUGAACUGGGACGUGAGCGUACCUCCCCACUAUCUCUGGAACUUGGUUCCCUUGCUGCAGCAUGUGGUUACAAGGGCAGUCACAGUACAACGUCGUCCGGGAUCGUGGCGCAUUGUAUACCAAGGGAAGUGGGCCUGACCUCGUGCUUAGGGAUUGAUGGGGAUGGCUGACAAAUGAAGCGAACCCGUCGUGGUACAAGGAUGUCAUGGGGUUAGGUUCACCUUGUAAAGUUUAAAAACUCGAUUCGAACUCAUAGUUUGAGACUGCUUGAUCACUGUGCUACACUGAGUAAGAAGUGAAACAAAGGAUGAUGAAUAAUACUGAUGCUUGAUUAAAUUGUUUGUUCAACAUGCUUGCUUAGAAUAGGUGGUUAAACCAACUAGAACCUGCUGCUAAAUCUUAAAAGUAAGGACCUACUUUAGAAGCUUUUGGCAAAAUAAAACCCUCAACUAAAAACCUUGCAUGUCUAGGAGUCGGUGAAUUAGAUACCACCUGACGGGUAAAGUAUCCAUUCGCGUGUGAGGCCAUUUUAAUUCGAUUAAAGUGUCCAUUCGCGUGUGAGACUAUAUUGAGUACACUUUAGCCGCGCUAAUUUGGCUAGCCCUGGUGCCACAGCUGGUAUCAGAGCUAGUAUCUGAUGCCACAGCUAGUAUCAGAGCUCAAAAGCAUACCUAGAGAGAGCAACAAGCUCUAAACACUUUUUUGGAUAAAACUUGCAAGAAACUUAUUUUGAAUAAAAAAUCCAUAAGUUCGUAGUGCUUGUAGUGUUAUUAACAUGUUUACCAUGACUUAAUCAUGUACUUGUUUAAUUAUACGUAAAUUUAUUAUUUAUUAUUUAAUGGUGCUACAAAAAUAGAAAUAUUUAAUAUUUUAACCAUGCAAAAAUUAUUUCUUGUUUAAUAGGCUGAGAUUUGCUUAUAUAAUUGCAGGGAUUUGCUUAUAUCAUUCAAAAAAUCAAGAUGAUCGCGAUGUCAUUUUGCUGAACAAAUUGCUAUCAGGUAUUUAUUCAGAUAUGUUGGACGUAUACAUGGACACUUAGGAUAACAUUUUCUGGAAUUCAUGUUCUUAAUUACUUUCUCACGUAAAUGCAAACGAGCUUGGCUGCCUCUGUGAGGUCAACUUUGCGAGUUUCUGAGCCGAGGUCAACUUUGCGAGUUUCUGGGCUCAGGUGGAGGAGGCUGAGGUGUUCAUGGUAAGCACAUCGCACUCUAAUACGGCUGCGGCGAGAUCAUCAAGUACAUCAAGUACCCGAGGUGAGAUCAUCAAGUACAUCAAGUACCCAAGGCAAGAUCAUCAAGUACCCGAGGCGAGAUCAUCAAGUACAUCAAGUUUCUCGUGUAUCCCAUCAUUCUAGCUGUCAUCCAGAUGAAGAAGGAAUUUCCAAUGUUUACAAAAGAUCAUCCAGAUGAAGAAAGAAUUUCCAAUGUUUACAAAAGGGAAGAAAUGUAUAAAGUAUAAACAAGAUCUAACCAUUCAUAAUUAAGGGUAAUAUGGUAAUUACAAUAAUUCAUUUGUUGAUAACCAAAAACACAACAUAAUGGUUCAAUUACAUAACGCAACAUCAUCUAAUGGAACGUUAAUAACUCUCCUCUUGACGAACGUCCCUUGGUUGUGAUUGCGGCGUAAGUAUGGAGCAUCCUCUUUGGCUAACAGGCUGCUUGGGUCAACCUCGACUGAAAAUGGGAAAGAUCAUCAAACUGAUCGUAAUCUUCUGAAAUGUCAGUCUUGUCCUCAACUCCAACAAUUUUUCUUUUCCCUGGAAGAACUAUGUGACGCUUUGGCUGGUCAUCUGACUUAUUAGCACCCUUCCUUAUUGGUUUGCUUGACAUGUCCUUCACAUAGAAAACUUGAGUCACGUCAUUGGCUAGGACGAAUGGUUCUUCUCUGUAUCCAAUCUUGUUGAGGUCCACUAUUUUCAUCCCAUAGUUGUCCUCCAGUAAGUUUCACCCAUUGGCACCAAAAUAGAGGAAUUUUCAAAGGUCCAUAGUCAAGUUCCCAUAUCUCCUCAAUGACACCAUAGUAUCUAUCUUUUUUCUCCCAUUGUCGUCUAUUGCAUCGAUACGGACACCACUAUUUUGGUUUGUGCUCUUUUGAUCUCGGACUUUGGUGUAAAAUGUGUAUCAUUUAUCUCAUAUCCAUGGAAUGUUGAUACUGAGAUAGAUAGACCCCUAGCAAACCAUGCUAGUUGUUCUUCAAUCAUGUCAUCACCCAUCAAUCGUCGCCGCAACCAAGAGGCGGAAGUGUCAAUGUGAUGACGUGUAAUCCAGGCCUCAGUCUUCUCUUGGUUUGAGGACCGUACAUUAGCCCUAUGCUCCUUCAUAUAUGGAGCGAUCAGGGAUGAUUGCUGCAGGACCGUGAACUAUGUUUUACGAAAUGUAUUCUCAUUGAUGUCCAUCGGAGCUUUCCUCCCUAGUGUGCCCUUUCCCUUCAGUCUCCCCUCAUAGCAUGAUACAGGGACAACAAUCAAACUCAGGCCAUCCAUAAAGUCAACACAAAACUCAAUGACCUCCUCUGUUGCAUAUCCCUUUGCGAUGCUUCCUUUCGGACGGGCACGGUUAUGAACAUACUUUUUCAAAAUUUCCAUAAAUCUAUUGAAAGGGAACAUAUUGUGUAGAAAUACAAGAUCGAGGAUAAAAAUCUCUUCAACAAGGUGGACUAGAAGUUGGGUCAUGAUAUUAAAGAAGGAAGGUGGAAAGACCAUCUCAAAGCUUACAAGGCAUUGCACCACAUCAUUUUAAAGCUUUAGUAUAUUGUUUAGAUGGAUUGUCUUCUAAGAAAUCAUGUUGAGAAAUGCACAUAGCUUCACGAUUGCCAUUCUCACAUUCUCUGGUAGAAUACCCCUUAGUACAACAGGCAACAAUUGUGUCAUCAGGACGUGACAGUCAUGGAUCUUUAGAUUUAUGAAUUUCUUCUAUUUAAAAUUUAUUAUUGCCUUUAUAUUCGACGAGUAACCUGAUGGGACCUUGAUACUAUUCAAGCACUCAAACAUGCUUUCCUUCUCUUCCUUGCUGAGAGUGUAAAUGGCAGGAUGCAAGUAAUGCCCAUUACCUCUCUUUUCCGGAUGUAGGGCAUCUCGUUGUUUCUGUUUCAGGUCCCGACGUGCUUCAAUUGUAUCUUUUGCCUUUCCAUAUGUACCCAGGAAGCCAAGCACAUUCACACAAAGAUUUUUCAUCAGGUGCAUCACAUCAAUUGUAUUACGGACCUGAAGCACUUCCUAAUAAGGUAGCUCCCAAAAUAUAGACUUCUUCCACAUGGGUUCAUGUCCGUCCUCGCCGUUCGGAAUAGGUUGGCUACCAGAGCCCUUGCCAAAGACUACCCUCACAUCCUUAAUCAUAUAAAAUACAUGUUUACCAUUACGGUGAACGGGCUUAGUACGUUUUUCUUCCUCCCCUUCAAAAUGCUUCCCUUUCUUUCUUAACAGGUACUUAGCAGGAAGAAAUCGACAAUGGGCCGUAUACAUGACCUUCUUACAAUGUUUCAAAUACAUGCUGCAAUUAUCAUCUAAACAGUGCAUGUAGGCUCGGAAUCCCUUGUUUGAUUGUCCGGACAGAUUACCAAGUGCUGGCCAAUCAUUGAUGAUUAUGAACAACAAUGCUCAUAGAUUAAAAGUCUCCUUUUUAUUCUCAUCCCACACACGUACACCUUCUUCCUUCCAUAACAGUAGAAGUUCAUCAACCAAUGGUUUUGGGUAAACAUCAAUGUCGUUGCCAGGUUAUUUUGGGCCUUGGAUAAUUAUUGGCAUCAUAAUGAACUUUUGUUUCAUGCACAUCCAUGACGGAAGGUUGAACAUACACAAGGUCACAGGCCAAGUGCUAUGACCACCACUGAACUCUCCGAAUGGAUUGAAUCCAUCUGUACUUAAACCAAACCGUAUGUUCCUUGCAUCCUUUUCAAAAUUGAGAAAUUCUCUAUCAAUUGUUCUCCUCUGGAACCCAUCAGUGGGGUGUCUGAUCAUUUCAUCUUGCUUACGUUCUUCUUUGUGCCAACGCGUCAACUUUGCAUGUGCUUUGUUUCUGAACAAAUGCUUCAAUCGUGGUACUAUAGAGAAAUACCACAUUAAAUUCGCAGGAACUUUCUUCUUGAUGACCUCCCCUUCAACAUCACCGGGGUCAUCUCACUUGAUCUUAUAACGCAGCGCUUUGCACAUAGGACAAGCCUCCAAUUUCUCGUAUUCCUUACCGCGAUAGAGGAUAUAGUCAUUAGGACAUGCAUGUAUCUUUUGUACCUCCAAAUCCAGAGGGCAAACAACCUUUUUUGCUUCGUAUGUUGAGGAUGGCAAUUCGUUCCCCUCGAGAAGCAUGUUCUUGAUGAUUUUCAUUAACUCAUCAAAACCCUUGUUAGAAACUUCAUUUUUUACCUUCCAUUGCAGCAUUUCCAGUGUGGUACCUAAGUUUUUUGCCCCUAUUUGCAAUUUAGGUACAACAAUUUCUUAUGAUCAUCUAACAUACUCUCGAACAAUUUUAACUCCUUCACAUCUCGUAGUCUUCCGUUGCACCUCGCAAUACCUGACCUAUAUCAUCAAUAAGACCUUCUACCUUGCCCAUCUCUUCUUCAGCAUCGCCCAUUAGAGCAUCUGCAAAGGCAUUUCCUUGAAUUCAGUCAGGAAUGUUGUCAUAUUUUUCUUCAUCAUCAUCAUCCAUCUUAACUCCUCUUUCACCGUCUUUAGUCCGAAUAAAAUAGUUAGGCAUGAAUCCAUAACUGUAUAUGUGGGCAUGAAUAGUCUUUCUGGAUGAGUAAUACUUCUCAUUUUUGCAAUUUAUGCAUGGACAAAAACUGAAAUCGGAAGGCGGUUUGUUGGAUUCUGCCUGAUCGAGAAAACCACGCAAGCCAUUAAUGUACUCCAUGGAACGUUUGUCUGCAUUGUACAUCCAUUGCCGAUCUAUCUACAAAAUAUUACCGAACCAAAGAUAUUGUGAUCAUCCAUACAAUUAUAAAUGAAACAUAAAAAAUAUGAAAUAAAUAGCAUUAAACUGAAAUGUUGCUGAAAGUUUAGAUAGAAAAAUAUGAUUUUAUAUAAAUUCUAACUCCUUCAAGAAUUUUUUUAAGUUAACAUAAUUUUCUACAAUUUUUCUACAAUUUCCUAUACAAAAUGGUGCAUAUAUUUUAAAAAACAAAAAUGAGCUCUAAAUAACAAACGAAUUAGCUAGAGAAUAUAGAAAAAUUCUUGAACUAGUGAGAAAUGAACAUUAUUUCCUACAAUUUGAUAAUGUAAUUGCUAAAUUAACAUGAUGUAAUUUUUACUUAUUUUUAUAUAUUUCUAAGAACUAACAUGAUUUUAUAUAAAUUCUAGCUACUUCAAGAUUUUUUUUCUAAGUUAACGUGAUUUCCUACAAUUUCCUAUACAAAAUGGUAUACUAUCCAUAGAAAUAACACCUUCAUAUAAAUGAAAAAUUCUCCAUUGUACCUUAUUCUAAAAAUCACAAAUUACUUUAGCUCUAAAGCAUAAACUUAGUAUACUCUCCAUGUAUCAAGGUCACAAAUCCAGCAGCACCUCCCCAUAUUUCGCUAUGGAUAGGGUGAAGCUCGAGCUAGAGGAGAUGGCUCAGGCUGGAGUAAGAAGGAGGGGUAUUUAUAGGAUGGAAACUAUUACCGGUUGGGGGGCACCAACCGGUACUAAAGGGGGGGGGGGAAUUAGUACCGUUGGUGCCCAUCCCAGUUAGUUUAUUUGGUAUCUUUCCAAUUGGUAUAUUUCCAGCAACCUGUACACACACGUGAAUUAAUUUGUAUUGAUAAACAAUUUCCAAAUUACUCAAGUCACACGGUUGUAUAAACUCAAUUAAUUUCUCUAUCCAGCAAGUCACACAUGUGCAAAAUGGAAUUAUCCAGGAUCCAUAGACAUGGAUCCAUCCACGUCAAUCCCAAAUAAUGGCUGCAUCUGUAAUAAGUCAUAAAUCAUAUAUCGCAACAAGAACAGAGCACUACAAGAAGCUAAUACUAACUCUGAUUCUCUAGUGUUGUAGACCAUACAUCCCCGGACCCACUAGAAGGUCUGUACAGACCCACUCAAGAGGACGUACUCAAGACAUAUCAGGACAUGAAGACUACGCUACAGGGCAAUAUAGACUACAUGGAACUUCUGAAGGGCUAAUCGGAAUACAAAGAAAAUACUAUGCCGAGUUAGAGUAGGAUUCUAUAGUCUUGUCCGACUAGUACUCUUGUACUCAAAACUACCCUGUAACCCUGCUUCCCGGAUAUAUAAGGGCGGGCAGGAACCCCCACAAAAUAAGUUCAAUUGAAUACAAGCGUACAACACAUAGGACGUAGGGUAUUACGUGAUCUAGUGGUUCGAACCUGUCUAAAUCGUGUCCCUGCGUCACCAUCGACUCCUUAAUUUUGGCGACACCCACCAACCAAAACACUAUCUCAGGUACUCCCUUGAUAGGUUGCCGGGUUAAAACACCGAUAGCUGGCGCGCCAGGUAGGGGCGGUCGCCAAAAUUCUCCAUGAGAGAUCAAUGGCUACAGUCAUCAUCAAGCCUGCGUUCGUGUUCAAAGCGGGUGCAACGUUUGUUUUUGGCUCUUAGCUCUGCAUCACUGAUGGCAUUGGACGUUUCCAAUGCCACAUCAUCGAAGAACCGGGGAAGAAUCAUCUCGGCGGAAACUCUCAUCGACAGGAGGACGAAGAUUUCGUCGAGAAAUUCGAAUUUUUCAAUCUCAACAACACCGAGUUUGACUAUAGCUCGGACUCAACUACAACUCGGACUAGUCCGCGCGAGUAGGUAAUUCAGCCAUUGUGAGGACCGGAUACAACUUCAAGCCAAUUUCCGAUUGGACUGCGAAACAUGGUCACGAUUCAUCAAAAAACUCCAUCUAAAGUCUAGUCUGGAUUAGAGUCAAUUGAAGACUACAACUCCGACUCGAACUCUUUUGAAGAACUCCCCUUAUCAGGUUAACAACAUGGCCUGGUAAUCACAUCAACACCGCAAGGCAGAUUUGUCUACUGGCCGGGUAUGAAACCAUCAAUCCUUGCCCAAGACAAUGAAUCACGCCUCAUCACACAUUUGGAUAUCCUCCCAUAUCAAGAGGGUACUCCACUCUCACCGAUCCAUGAAGAAUAUAGCUCCGCUGAAGUCAUAACAUCCAGCUCUGGAAGCUACUCUCCGGAUAGAGAACUCUUUGUUGUGGUUUCACCAAUUGAUGGAACAGGAACCAGUGAUCACCACCAAAGAACUCCUCAUCGAGAACGCCAAAUGGAAGAAGUCCCCCAAGAUGAAUUAUCAGCUGACACCCCGAAGGGCGAAACUAGCAGCCAGAGAACUCAAAGAAGAGCAAGAAACAAUAAGAGGGCGGAACGUCGUAGACUUCUACCCGCAAGAGUUCCCAUUGUGAACCUUGACAGAGCAUUCGAAGCAGUUCAAACACGAGAACAUAACACACCACUUGCCUCGAUCAAUGCCUCCAAACAAAUACAACAAUCUUCUGUUAUAUUUGGCAGAACAUGCUUACAAACUCCUUGACAAAGAAAUGCCAAUCCCAUCCGUGCCUCACAACCCAAGUCACCAUGAUGAUAGCAGAGACAAUGCAAAACUCUCAAACCAACAACAUGAUGAAUCAAGACAACAUAGGGGCAUACUCGAAGCUCCAAGAUGAAAUAGAGAUGCAGCUGAGGGUAGUCGCACAGCCUCUGUGGAAGAACCACACCACCGCAGAGAAAAUUUGGAAUCUUCACACAUCAGUGAUCUUCGAGAAAUACUAAAUCACAAUCGUGAUGCUCGAGAUAUAAUCAUCAAUCGCCGUCGUGAACGUGAAGCUGAGGGUGAUGACAAUGACCAUUUGCCCGCUUUCACAAGACGAAUCAUGCAGACUAUUCUCUCAGAGAAAUUCAAACCAAUAGGCAUCACCAAAUAUGAUGGCAAACAAGACUCAGUUUGGUGGCUCCGAUGCUACGCAUUAGCAAUCCAAGGUGCGGGCGAAAGCGAUGAUACAAAAGUCAUUCACUUUCCCGUAUGCAUAGAACUAGCGCCACUAACUUGGCUCGAAUCUUUGAAGCCUAACUCCAUCGACUCAUGGUCUAAUCUAAAGAAAGCUUUUACAAGCAACUAUGUGGGAGCUAUGCAGCAUCCCGGCAACAGAAUUGACUCGGCUCAGAUGAAGCAGCAAAAGGAUGAGUCCCUGCGCAACUACCUACACGCUUUUUCGAUAAAAAAGCUAUAAUUGUUGAUAUUUCAGAGGCAGAUGUGAUUGAAUGUUUUCAAAAUAGUCUCUGGGACCGCCGCAUGUUCCAAGACUUUGGCAAACACCGGCCAGCGGAUGUCAAAGAACUCAAAAUUAUGGCUCGGUCAUGGGCAGACGAAGAAGACAAAGAGCGUGAAAGGUUUAAGUUACACCGCAAUCGCGGACGUGCCAACAAUAACCAAAGCAACAAUCAAGAACAAGACAGAAACCGCAACGGUGAUCACCAAAGCAACUACUUGGGCAAUUAGAAUCGUAAGCACAAACCAGACAAUACCAUUGCAGCAAUGUCAAAUUCAAGCAAGAAAGGACCGAAUAAACGAAAUGAUGACCCCUCAUUCAAUGAACUACUCAAGAAACAAUACCCAUGACACUCGCGCAGCAAGCAUGCAGCAAUAGACUGCUACAACCUUCACAAGAGUUAUGCAAGAAUUGCCAGAACCUCCCGCCAACAACAAUACAAUAAUAAUAGUAAGGACAAAGGCAAGGGAAAGAUGGAUGAAACUGAAGAUGGCAAAGACAAGUUCCAGACAGCAUCUAAGACCGUCAACGUCAUCUUCGGUGGAAUUCCAGGCACUACCUCCAAACCAUCCAAUAAAUUAGUACUCAAAGAAAUUAUGGCUAUAGAACCAGCCACCCCUACACCUCUCAAAUGGACUGAGGCACCUAUUACCUUCAGCAGAAAGGAUCAAUGGACCAACUUCUCAGAACCAGGAUGUUUCCCUCUAGUACUAGACCAAGUUGUCGCAGGCUCAAGACUAACCAAAGUACUCAUCGACGGUGGCAGUGGACUCAGCGUCAUUUUCGCCAAGACUCUAAGAAGGAUGGGUCUCGACAUCACCAACAUGCUUACCCCAAUAGAUUCUCCCUUCUAUGGAAUCAUCCCAGGCAACACAGCCAUUCCACUAGGACAAGUUGUCUUACCUGUCACUUUCGAUACCAAAGAGCAUUACCUCAUAGAGUACAUCAAAUUCGAGGUGGCUGACAUCGAGACUUCUUACCAUGCCAUCCUCGGAAGACCGAAAGGAGAACAUCUCUUCGAGGAGAUCUGUGACGAUCAUGUGAAUGUGACACAGAAACUGUUGAGAUAGCUGCAACUACUCAAGUUCCCAGCUCCAUGCAACAAGUGUUCACCGCAUCAAAGAAGCUUACCUCGGCAGAACUCGAAAUCCCAGAAAACAAGCCAGGAGCUACUAAAGUCAAGCCAGCAAACAACAAAGAUUUCAAAUCCAUCGACCUCGAAACUGGCGACUCAUCCAAAACUGCCCUGAUCAGAAUAGGGCUCGAUCCCAAAUAGGAAAGCACGCUUGUCGGUUUCCUUUGAGCAAAUCGAGACAUCUUCGCAUGGAAACCAGCUGACAUGCCAAGUAUGCCCAAGGAACUGAUCGAGCAUUCACUCAACAUCGAUCCCAAAGCUACUCCAAAAAGACAACGACUACGAUUCGCUCAAGAUAGAAGAGAUGCGAUUAAAAAAAACUAGCCAAAUUACUCGCAGCAGGGUUUACAAAGGAAGUUUUCCACCCUAAUUGGUUAGCGAUCCUAUUUUAGUUCGAAAGAAGAACAACAACAAGUGGAGGAUGUGUGUCAACUACACAGACCUCAACAAACAUUACCCCAAAGAUCCCUUUGGGCUUCCCAGAAUCAACCAACUAGUCGACUCCACAGCCGGAUGCGCACUACUUUGUUUUCUUGAUUGUUACUCGGGAUAUCAUAAGAUAGCUCUCAAGGAAUAAGAUCAAGCCAAGACCGCAUUCAUCACCCCUUUUGGAGCAUUCUACUACAAGACAAUUUCCUUUGGGUUGAAGAACGUUGGUGCAACUUAUCAACGUGCAAUUCAAAUGUGCUUCGAGAAACAACUACACCCUGCAAUGUGGAAGCCUACGUGGAUGAUGUAGUAGUCAAAACCAGAAAUCCAGAUGAUUUAAUCGCAGAUUUAGAAGAAACUUUCACAAGCCUGCGAGCGUUCCGAUGGAAACUAAAUCCUACCAAGUGCGUUUUCGACGUACCUUUGGGAAAAUUACUCGGGUUCAUCAUCAGUCAUCGAGGCAUCAAAGCAAACCUUGAGAAAAUCUCCACCAUUACUAACAUGCAAGCUCCAUCUGGCAUAAAAGACGUUCAGAAACUUAUAGGCUGCAUGGCGGCUCUAAAUAGAUUCAUAUCAAGACUUGGAGAACGGGGUUUACCUUUCUUCAAAUUACUCAAAUGACAAGAAAAAUUUCAAUGGACAGAGGAGGCAAAAAAAGCUCUAUUACAACUGAAAGAUUUCCUGUCAAAGCCACCAAUCCUCACAGCUCCAACUCCAAACGAAGAUUUGCUCUUGUACAUCGCUACAACUACUCAUGUUGUCAUCACAGGAAUAGUAGUCGAAAGAACUGAGCCAGGCCACGUCUACAAAGUCCAGAGACUAGUAUACUUUGUCAGCGAAGUACUCUCGGAUUUCAAGACAUGGUAUCCACCGAUCCAGAAGCUACUCUACGCCAUACUACUCACUUCGCGGAAACGCCGACACUACUUCCAGGAACACAACAUAUCCGUCAUCACUGACUUCCUGCUCGGUGAAAUCCUCCACAAUUUGGACGCCACAGGCAGAAUCUCAAAGUGGGCAGUAGAACUCAGAGCAUUGACCUUGGAAGUCAAACCCAGAACAACAAUUAAAUCCCAAGCUCUAGUCAACUUCAUGGCUGAGUGGAGGGAAAAUCAAUUGCCUACACCAAUAGAAUGCCCUGAACACCAGGGCAUGUACUUUGACAGAUCUCUUAAGCUUGAGGGAGCCGGCGUAGGAGUACUCCUAAUAUCUCCAAAAGGCAAACAACUCAAGUACAUUCUUCAAAUCUUUUGGGAAGCAUCAAAUAAUAAAGCCGAGUACGAAGCACUUCUACACGGUCUUCGCCUAGAAAUUUCACUAGGCAUCAAAAGAUUACUAGUCUAUGGUGACUCAUUAGUAGUCAUCAAUUAGUCAACGACGAGUGGGAUUGCAACAAGGAAAAUAUGGAUGCAUACUGCUGGGAAGUCCGCAAACUAGAGAACAAGUUCUUAGGUCUCGAAUUUCACCACGUGGUCUGCGACAACAAUGUUGUUGCUGAUGUUUUAUCCAAAAUGGGAUCAACACGCGCGGAAGUCCUAGCAGGCAUCUUUGUUCACAAACUUCACAAGCCAUCCAUAUAGAACAAGAAACUCCAGCAACCACUAGCAAGGGUCCAUCAGACCGGGAGAUCAUGAUGAUCGAGGUAGACUGGAGGACUCCUUUUAUCGACUACAUUAAAGAGCACAAGUUACCUCCGACAAGACGCAAGCAGAACAAGUCUCACGACGCGCCAAAAGCUAUGCUCUAGUUGGAGAUAAACUCUACAGAAGAGGAGCAUCCUCGGGAGUACUCAUGGAAUGCGUUACUCGCGAAGACGGCAAAGAUAUCUUGGAGGAAAUACACAAAGGAAUUUACGGCAACCACGCAUCCUCAAGAACAUUAGUAGGCAAAGCCUUCAAAGCGGGAUUUUAUUGGCGGCAAAUGCAGCGGAACUAGUCCGCAAAUGUCAAGGCUGCUAGUUUUUUUGCCAAACAACAUGUUCCUGCUUAUAAACUCAUCACCAUACCUCCAACAUGGCCUUUCGCUGUGUGUUUUAGUUAACACACAAGGAAAUGACUCAUUUAGUCAUUUCCCUGUGUUUCAUAUCAAUUUCCUUGUGUGUUUUAUCUAACCCACGGAGAAAUGUGCAUCAUGUCAAUUUCCCUGUGUGUUAUACCUAACCCACAAGAAAAUGAGGAAUUUCCCUGUGGAUUUUGGUAUUUGCCUGUGUGUUCUUUUGGAAUCGACAAGGAAAUGUGAAUUCCCCUGUGUGUGCACGAAAAAAAUCCUCAUGGAAAUUUGGCACACACAAGGAAAUUAAUUCGGGUUUCCAGUAGUGUAAUAACCCUGUAUUUUUACAUCAACACGACAUACAUAGAAUUGAAUAAUUAAGGUCCUGUUUGUUUGAGUUUUAGCUUUCCAAGCUUUCCAGAAAGCUGGCUUUUGGUUUUUGCUCCCUGGAAGGGUGGCUUUCCAAAAGCUAGCUUUGGGAAAGCUAACACUGUUUGGCAACCUAGCUUUUGGAAUGGUAUGAUGGAGUGUCUGUUCUGUGGGAUCCACAUGUCAGGCUUUUCUUCAACCUUGCUCGAUAGACGGAAGGCAAGACUGACGGGGAGAGGGAAGGGGUGGGGGCGGCUGGAGGUGAGACCGACAGGGGAGGGGGUGCCAGGGAGCUCCGCGCUCCUACGGCAGUGCAGCGCCGGGCGCCAGAGGGACUGAGGAGUGGCAGCGGUGGGCAAGAUUUGGCGGGAAGGAGGGGUGCUGCGCCGGUGGGGGAGAUUUGGAGUGGAGGUGCUCCCCUGCGGCCCCACCCCCUCCCCCGCACUCCUUCGCACUAGCUUGGAGGGAGACGGCUCCUCCUGCGGUCCUGCCGGAAGGGAGGACUCGACAAGGCGGGGCAGGUGUCCGAAACAGAUCACCAAAUCCCACGCGGGCAGUUGAGAGAUCCGAGCCCGCCACGAUCCAUGGUGGCCAACGCAGCGGCCGGUGUAGCGACGCGCCUCAUACUCAUCCUCCUCGCUGCCUUCCUCGGCACGGUGCCGCAUGGGGCGGACGCGCUACGGUCGCUCAACGUCGAGGGCGCGGGCGGGGCUGACGGCGCCAACGACGACGGCACCGUGGACCUCGACACCGGCAACUUCACCGCCUUCCUCCAGGCCUCGCCGGAGUCGUUCGCGGUCGUCGAGUUCUUCACCCACUGGUCGGCCGCUCCGCGCCGGCUUGGGCGCCACAAGACCGGAGGAGAUGGAGACGACACAUAUGGAGAUGGAAGGAAACAAAAAUGGCUGGUUCACACCAUAAACAAUGGCAGGUGGGUAAUUUUCGCGACCUUGACAUAGAAAAGCUGCGGAAAGCUCACAUUUCACAGCUUCUGGACUUUUGGCUUUCGAAAAGCUCAACCUAGAAACUGGCUAUUUAUUUGAGCUUUCGGCUUCUUAGGGUGGAAAGCUACUUGAAAGUCCAAACAAACAGUGCCUAAGUUUACACCUUUAUUACAGACGACACUGCACUACUAGCAGCUAGGCACUGUGGAGAUGUAGCUAGAGUAGAGAACAUGCAAGGUGGUAUGAGCCGAUGAACGACGACUGAUACAUUACAUAGACAUGCAUUAUGUUCCCCCCUUACGCUGCGACGAUGGACCACUGACGCUAUGUCAGUGAUGAAUGAUCACUGACAUGUGUUAUUAGCAACCACAUCACGUCGUGCGAUAACGUUAAUAACGUCAGAGGAACCACUUCAUCCCUUACGCCGACGAGAGGCCAGCAUAUUUCUUGGCCCACAAGAUGUGCCCGUACGGCAGGACGUGGCACACCGGCGGCCCGCCAGGCUUGGUGCCGAGGAACCUGAAGGCGACGUGAUCCUUGUCCCACUCCGACGUGUCGGUGUGGCAGACGGAGAACAAGGUGACUUUGUCACCACCGGCGCCCUCCAUCUCCACCUUGUACGCCCGGACCGGGCCGGUGUUGUGGCACAUGUACACGGUGUACGGGUACUCCUUCUGGUGGCACCCCACGAAGCUGGAGCCCUGGACGGGGCGCACGGCACGGACGGUGUACGGCUGCAGCGGCGACCGGGCACGGGGCACCUGGAGAUCAUCUCGGUAAUGCUCCUGGUGCCGAGCACCCCCUGGGCACCCUCGACCAGGGCCUCCAGUGAGGUGGCGCAGAACUUGGCCUCCCACUCGAGGCCCGGGUCCUCGCACAUGCCCAGCGUCUCCUCCAUCUUGGCCGACUAGGCGGAGCCCUCAGCGACGUUGAACUGGGCGAGGACGCCCGGGAGGGUGGAGGAGGAGAAGGGGAUGGC
RNAcentral lists this long non-coding RNA (26581 nucleotides) under Setaria viridis. RNAcentral describes it as "long non-coding RNA (SVIR_LNC007186)". Lineage: Eukaryota; Viridiplantae; Streptophyta; Magnoliopsida; Poales; Poaceae. The record is from RNAcentral.